CAGCAGUCGCCACGGGAAUACGGAGGGAGCUAGCGUUGUUCGGAAUUACUGGGCGUAAAGCGCACGUAGGCGGCUUUGUAAGUUAGAGGUGAAAGCCUGGAGCUCAACUCCAGAAUUGCCUUUAAGACUGCAUCGCUUGAAUCCGAGAGAGGUGAGUGGAAUUCCGAGUGUAGAGGUGAAAUUCGUAGAUAUUCGGAAGAACACCAGUGGCGAAGGCGACUGACUGGACAAGUAUUGACGCUGAGGUGCGAAAGCGUGGGGAGCAAACAGGAUUAGAUACCCCGGUAGUCCCUGUCUCUUAUAC
Molecule: ribosomal RNA, 304 nt
Filed under: uncultured bacterium
Lineage: Bacteria
Description: partial 16S ribosomal RNA
Rfam family: Bacterial small subunit ribosomal RNA
Source: RNAcentral